Molecule: ribosomal RNA, 543 nt
Filed under: Mantophryne cf. lateralis LAO-2013
Lineage: Eukaryota; Metazoa; Chordata; Amphibia; Anura; Microhylidae
Description: partial 12S ribosomal RNA
Rfam family: Bacterial small subunit ribosomal RNA (bases 1-356)
Source: RNAcentral
UUGAAUACUCAGCCUGUAUACCUCCGUCGCAAGCUUACCCUAUGAAUGCACUUAGUGAGCCCAAUGAUUUAACACCCACACGUCAGGUCAAGGUGCAGCCCACAAGAUGGAAAGAAAUGGGCUACAAUUUUUACCCUAGAACAAACGAAAGACUACAUGAAACACAGCCACUGAAGGCGGAUUUAGUAGUAAAAAGAAAAUAGAGAGUUUUUUUUAAUCAGGCACUGGAAAGGGUACACACCGCCCGUCACCCUUUUCAAACACAAAUAUUAUGUUAUUGACACCACACACAAAACAGAAGAGGUAAGUUGUAACACGGUAAGCGUACUGGAAAGUGCGCUUGGAAUAACAAAAUGUAACUUAAUAAAAGUAUUUUGCUUACACCAAGAACAUGUUUGUGAAACCCCGACCAUUUUGAGCUUAAAGCCCAGCCCCACUAAACUUAAUGAAACCAGCCCCCCCACCCCAAGAAUUAAAACAUUUUUUCACUUAGUAAAGGCGAUUAAAAAGUACCUAGGAGCCCCAAUAUGAGUACCGCAAGGG